AUCCAGCUGAAGAGUCCCAAAUUGAAUGAGACGCAUGUCCUGAAU
This is a non-coding RNA of Schistosoma mattheei, 45 nucleotides long. Lineage: Eukaryota; Metazoa; Platyhelminthes; Trematoda; Strigeidida; Schistosomatidae. The record is from Rfam.